UACGAAGGGGGCUAGCGUUGCUCGGAAUCACUGGGCGUAAAGGGUGCGUAGGCGGGUCUUUAAGUCAGGGGUGAAAUCCUGGAGCUCAACUCCAGAACUGCCUUUGAUACUGAGGAUCUUGAGUUCGGGAGAGGUGAGUGGGACUGCGAGUGUAGAGGUGAAAUUCGUAGAUAUUCGCAAGAACACCAGUGGCGAAGGCGGCUCACUGGCCCGAUACUGACGCUGAGGCACGAAAGCGUGGGGAGCAAACAGG
This 253-nucleotide ribosomal RNA is filed under the name uncultured bacterium. RNAcentral describes it as "partial 16S ribosomal RNA". It matches the Rfam family "Bacterial small subunit ribosomal RNA", at positions 524 to 776 of the family's 1533-position model. The record is from RNAcentral.